UUCACACCAUCCCAUCCUAUGUUGUAGUUUCCUUUUGUGGGUUCUUUACCUUUAUAUAUGAAAGUGUAAGAGAAAGGCCAUCCUCAUGCAGUUGUAGCAAUUUUGAUGGUUUUAAGAGCAGGAAGAUGAAGUGUUGCAGAGUCCAGAUCUUAGCUCUUGUGUCACUGAUGCUUCUAUUCCCAGCCGCCAUUGAUGGUUGGGGUAUUGAUGGGCAUUACAUAGUUUGCACAAUUGCUCAGUCACGCUUGAACAAGGCAGCAGCAGAGAUCGUGAAAGAGUUGCUUCCAAAAUCUGCAGAGAAUGACUUGGGAAGUGUGUGUUCAUGGGCGGAUGGGGUCAAGUUUAGGUAUCCCUGGUCAAGAUCCCUCCACUAUGUGAACACCCCUGAUGUUUGCAACUACAACUUCAAAAGGGAUUGCAAGGAUGAAAGUGAAGAGGAGGGUAGGUGCGUUGCAGGGGCAGUCAAAAAUUACACGCAGCAGUUGUUAACCAUUGACAGAAAUCGGCAGAACAACCUUACAGAGGCACUUCUAUUUUACUCCCAUUUUAUGGGAGACAUUCAUCAGCCUCUACACGCUGGUUUUGCUUCAGACAAGGGAGGGAAUACGAUUGAGGUCCAUUGGUAUACAAGAAAGCAAAAUCUUCACCAUAUAUGGGACAACAACAUAAUAGAGACAGCACAAGAAAGGUUCUACGAUUCAAAUAUCAAUGACAUGAUCGAUGCAAUUCAGACAAAUAUUACGACUGAAUGGGCAGAUCAAGUUAAGAGAUGGGAGAGCUGCAGUUAUACUGAUACAACAUGUGCAAACGUGUCAUCUUUCCCUUCAAUUACCCUCGUUUCGGCUUUCCCUGCCUAUUCCAUUGAUGCAACCUUAUCUUCAUUUGCACAAAUGGACACAUUGUUUUCUAUCCUUUAUUGCCACUUAUCCUAUCUCAACAUGUUCAUGAAACUGAUAUGCAUCUGAAGGCAUCAAAGCAGCCUGUGACUGGGCAUACAAAGGUGUGACUGAUGGUUCAGUUUUAGAAGAUGAAUAUUUCCUCUCCCGUUUACCAAUAGUCAACACGCGGCUGGCGCAAGCUGGAGUUCGGUUGGCAGCCAUUCUCAACCAUUAUUUCAAGUGAUAGUACUAGUUUCUUCUAUACUUCAUUGGAUUAUAUACAGCAUGGCUGAUGUUUUUAUACCACAGUAGUGGUCUGCCACUAUCGUCUAAACUAGGUUCUAGCCAUUGCUUCUAAAUGUAUAAAUUAUCAUUAUUCCAGUCAUCUAGCACUCUUUUUCCUUUGUAAAGCUGCUGAUCCACACAUUUAUAUUCACACUUGAUUAAAAGUAACUUUAAAGGCUGCUUUCUUAUA
RNA transcript from Juglans microcarpa x Juglans regia, 1353 nucleotides. It is a transcript of the gene named endonuclease 2, with no coding region annotated. Lineage: Eukaryota; Viridiplantae; Streptophyta; Magnoliopsida; Fagales; Juglandaceae. The record is from RefSeq and is a predicted model, not a curated record. The transcript is spliced from 10 exons.